CGCGUGGAACGUGCCUUUCACUACGGAAUAGCUCUUGGAAACGAGUGGUAAUACCGUAUACGCCUCCGGGGAACAGAUUUAUCGGUGAAAGAAUCGGUCCGCGUUAGAUUAGCUAGUUGGUGGGGUAAGUGGCCUACCAAGGCGACGAUCUAUAGCUGGUCUGAGAGGAUGAUCAGCCACACUGGGACUGAGACACGGCCCAGACUCCUACGGGAGGCAGCAGUGGGGAAUAUUGGACAAUGGGGCGCAAGCCUGAUCCAGCCAUGCCGCGUGAAUGAUGAAGGCCUUAGGGUUGUAAAA
This 300-nucleotide ribosomal RNA is filed under the name uncultured Hyphomonadaceae bacterium. Its description in RNAcentral is "bacterial SSU rRNA". It matches the Rfam family "Bacterial small subunit ribosomal RNA", at positions 114 to 430 of the family's 1533-position model. The record is from RNAcentral. Lineage: Bacteria; Pseudomonadati; Pseudomonadota; Alphaproteobacteria; Hyphomonadales; Hyphomonadaceae.